This 213-nucleotide unclassified non-coding RNA is filed under the name plant metagenome. RNAcentral's name for it is "partial contains small subunit ribosomal RNA, internal transcribed spacer 1, and 5.8S ribosomal RNA". The record is from RNAcentral.
UUUCCGUAGGUGAACCUGCGGAAGGAUCAUUCAUAAUAAGUGUUUUAUGGCACUUUUUUAAAUCCAUAUCCACCUUGUGUGCAAUGUCAGGGUUGAUUUUUCUCUCGAGAGGAUCUACCCCAAACAUCAACUAUAUCUCAACUCUUUGUCUGAAAAAUAUUAUGAAUAAAACAAUUCAAAAUACAACUUUCAACAACGGAUCUCUUGGCUCUC